Molecule: non-coding RNA, 501 nt
Organism: Doryrhamphus excisus (bluestripe pipefish)
Lineage: Eukaryota; Metazoa; Chordata; Actinopteri; Syngnathiformes; Syngnathidae
Source: RefSeq, a predicted model, not a curated record
CUUGUAGUUUUUUGUAGCUACUGUCGCUGUUGACUUAUCACGGAUUCCAUGGCCUGCCGACACUGGAGCAGUGCAGGUGUCAUAAACGGAGCAGUUGUUGUCAGUGUCAUCACAGCCCUCAGGCUAUGUAGAGCCUGUCUGCCAUCGAACAGGAGGAAGCAGCAGGAGAGUGACAGUAAAUGUUAUGUUAUUAGUGCAGGAGAGCAUUAAGUCAAAAGCUGAUCUUGCAAGGAAGCAUCACUUCCUGUACAUACACUGCAGGGACGACCCACUGAUGAGCAGACGGCAAAGUUUUCUUAUCAAAUUCCAUCUACAAGUUAUGUCUGCUUAUGCAGCUCCAAAUGAAAAGCAAAGGGAUUAUAUUGAUACAUCUGCUAUUAUUGAAGACUUCCUUCCCCUGCACUUGGAUCCAGCAACCCCCUUUUGGCAGCGUCAACAUUACAUACCGUUAUUAGAAAAUAUUGUAAAUCCUCCCUGACUGUUAGAUCUCUCCACGCUAAU